RNAcentral lists this ribosomal RNA (542 nucleotides) under Varuna litterata. Its description in RNAcentral is "partial 16S ribosomal RNA". The stretch from base 394 to 542 matches the Rfam family "Bacterial large subunit ribosomal RNA", at positions 2473 to 2624 of the family's 2925-position model. Lineage: Eukaryota; Metazoa; Arthropoda; Malacostraca; Decapoda; Varunidae. The record is from RNAcentral.
GGGUUUGGUUAGAAGGUUUACCUGCCCACUGAUUGGAACAAAAUUAAAUGGCCGCGGUAUAUUGACCGUGCAAAGGUAGCAUAAUCGUUAGUUUUUUAAUUGGAAUCUUGUAUGAAUGGUUGGACAAAAGAAAAUCUGUCUUUAUAUUAUUAAUUGAAUUUAACUUUUAAGUGAAAAGGCUUAAAUGGAUUAAAGUGACGAUAAGACCCUAUAAAGCUUUAUAUAGAUAUAUUAUUUAAUUAAAUUUUUAAUAAAAAUUUAGUAGUAAAAUUUAUUUUAUUGGGGCGAUAAGAGUAAAAUUUUUAUUAACUGCUUUAAGUUUUGAAUACAUUUAUGUUUGAUUAAAAUUUUAAAUGAUCCUAAAUAAAGAUUAAAAGUUUAAGUUACUUUAGGGAUAACAGCGUUAUUUUUUUUGAGAGUACUUAUCGAAAAAAAAGUUUGCGACCUCGAUGUUGAAUUAAAAUUUCUUUAUAAUUGCAGAAGUUAUAAAAGUAGGUCUGUUCGACCUUUAAAAUUUUACAUGAUCUGUUCCAAAACCGGGA